UACGGGGGGGGCAAGCGUUGUUCGGAAUUACUGGGCGUAAAGGGCGCGUAGGCGGUGCUCUAAGUCGGAUGUGAAAACUCUGGGCUCAACCCAGAGCCUGCAUCCGAAACUGGAGUGCUAGAGUUCUGGAGGGGGUAGCGGAAUUCCUGGUGUAGCGGUGAAAUGCGUAGAUAUCAGGAGGAACACCAGUGGCGAAGGCGGCUCACUGGCCCGGUACUGACGCUGAGGUGCGAAAGCGUGGGGAGCAAACAGG
Molecule: ribosomal RNA, 253 nt
Filed under: uncultured bacterium
Lineage: Bacteria
Description: partial 16S ribosomal RNA
Rfam family: Bacterial small subunit ribosomal RNA
Source: RNAcentral